RNAcentral lists this transfer RNA (74 nucleotides) under Candidatus Omnitrophota bacterium. Its description in RNAcentral is "Candidatus Omnitrophica bacterium (sediment metagenome) tRNA-Trp". It matches the Rfam family "tRNA". From Rfam's summary of the family: Transfer RNA (tRNA) molecules are approximately 80 nucleotides in length. Their secondary structure includes four short double-helical elements and three loops (D, anti-codon, and T loops). Lineage: Bacteria; Pseudomonadati; Candidatus Omnitrophota. The record is from RNAcentral.
AGGCCAGUAGCUCUAAUUGGUAGAGCGUCGGUCUCCAAAACCGUAGGUUGUAGGUUCGAAUCCUACCUGGCCUG